This 1384-nucleotide ribosomal RNA is filed under the name Megaloprepus caerulatus. Its description in RNAcentral is "partial 28S ribosomal RNA". It matches the Rfam family "Eukaryotic large subunit ribosomal RNA", at positions 605 to 1729 of the family's 3401-position model. Lineage: Eukaryota; Metazoa; Arthropoda; Insecta; Odonata; Coenagrionidae. The record is from RNAcentral.
CCGGCCCUCCGCGAGCACCCGCGGGGGUUCGGGUUCCGGACCCGGUCCGAUCCCGUUCCCACCGAGGGGCUGUCCGCGAUCAUGGAGGUGUCCUCGGACGGCGUCGAAUCCUUCUCCGGUCCGCGACGCUACGGCUUGGAUGGUCCACCCGACCCGUCUUGAAACACGGACCAAGGAGUCUAACAUGCGCGCGAGUCGUUGGGUCGGACACGCUCCGCUAAACCCAUAGGCGCAAUGAAAGUGAAGGCCGCCGUCGGGCGGCCGAGGGAGGACGGGGCCGGCCGCGCGUUCCGGCGCGCGUCGGUCCCCGCACCCCCGGGGCGUCUGAUCCCUCAUCGCGAGGGGAGGCGCACCCAGAGCGCACACGUUGGGACCCGAAAGAUGGUGAACUAUGCCUGGCCAGGACGAAGUCAGGGGAAACCCUGAUGGAGGUCCGUAGCGAUUCUGACGUGCAAAUCGAUCGUCGGAGCUGGGUAUAGGGGCGAAAGACUAAUCGAACCAUCUAGUAGCUGGUUCCCUCCGAAGUUUCCCUCAGGAUAGCUUGCGCUCGGAGGAGAGUCUCAUCCGGUAAAGCGAAUGAUUAGAGGCCUUGGGGCCGAAACGGCUUCAACCUAUUCUCAAACUUUAAAUGGGUGAGAACUCCGGCUUGCUCGACUUGUCGAAGCCGGAGACGGGGCUCCGGCCCCCGGGAUCGGAGUGCAUAGUGGGCCACUUUUGGUAAGCAGAACUGGCGCUGUGGGAUGAACCAAACGACGGGUUAAGGCGCCCGAAUCGACGCUCAUGGGAAACCAUGAAAGGUGUUGGUUGCUUAAGACAGCAGGACGGUGGCCAUGGAAGUCGGAAUCCGCUAAGGAGUGUGUAAUAACUCACCUGCCGAAGCAACUAGCCCUGAAAAUGGAUGGCGCUGAAGCGUCGUGCCUAUACCCGGCCGUCGCGGCAGGGCGGACCCGCGAGGGUGCCGUUCGAUGCGGCGACGAGUAGGAGGGUCGCGGCGGCGCGCGCAGAAGGGUCUGGGCUCGAGCCUGCCUGGAGCCGCCGCCGGUGCAGAUCUUGGUGGUAGUAGCAAAUACUCCAGCGAGGCCCUGGAGGACUGAUGUGGAGAAGGGUUUCGUGUGAACAGCCGUUGCACACGAGUCAGUCGAUCCUAAGCCCUAGGAGAAAUCCGACGCCAACGGCGACGGGAAAAACGAAACAGAGAGAAAGAAACCCGUUGAUCGGGCGAAAGGGAAUCCGGUUCCUAUUCCGGAACCCGGCAGCGGAACCGCUGUUUGUCGGGCCCUCACAAGGGGUUCGUCAGGGUAACCUAAAAGGGCCCGGAGACGCCGUCGGGAGCCCCGGAAAGAGUUUUCUUUUCUGCAUGAGCGUUCGAGUUCCCUGGAAUCCU